UCUGGUGGCUCAGACGGUAAAGCAUCUGCCUGCAAUGCGGGAGACCCGGGUUCCAUUCCUGGGCCAGAA
This 69-nucleotide transfer RNA is filed under the name Ovis aries (sheep). It matches the Rfam family "tRNA". Rfam says of the family: Transfer RNA (tRNA) molecules are approximately 80 nucleotides in length. Their secondary structure includes four short double-helical elements and three loops (D, anti-codon, and T loops). The record is from Rfam by way of RNAcentral. Lineage: Eukaryota; Metazoa; Chordata; Mammalia; Artiodactyla; Bovidae.